This 444-nucleotide ribosomal RNA is filed under the name uncultured bacterium. RNAcentral describes it as "SSU rRNA". It matches the Rfam family "Bacterial small subunit ribosomal RNA", at positions 26 to 518 of the family's 1533-position model. The record is from RNAcentral.
AGAACGAACGCUGGCGGCAGGCCUAACACAUGCAAGUCGAGCGCUGUAGCAAUACAGAGCGGCGCACGGGAGAGUAAUACGUGGGAACCUACCCUUUGGUUCGGAAUAACGUCGGGAAACUGACGCUAAUACCGAAUAAGCCCUUCGGGGGAAAGAUUUAUUGCCGAAGGAUGGGCCCAUGUUGGAUUAGCUAGUUGGUGAGGUAACGGCUCACCAAGGCAACGAUCCAUAGCUGGUCUGAGAGGAUGAUCAGCCUCACUGGGACUGAGACACGGCCCAGACUCCUACGGGAGGCAGCAGUGGGGAAUAUUGGACAAUGGGGGCAACCCUGAUCCAGCCAUGCCGCGUGAGUGAUGAAGGCCUUCGGGUUGUAAAGCUCUUUUGGCGGGACGAUGAUGACGGUACCGCAGAAUAAGCCCCGGCUAACUUCGUGCCAGCAGCCGC